Molecule: transfer RNA, 86 nt
Filed under: Bacillota bacterium
Lineage: Bacteria; Bacillati; Bacillota
Also listed under: 1 other name
Description: tRNA-Tyr
Rfam family: tRNA
About the family: Transfer RNA (tRNA) molecules are approximately 80 nucleotides in length. Their secondary structure includes four short double-helical elements and three loops (D, anti-codon, and T loops).
Source: RNAcentral
GGAGAGGUUCCCGAGUUGGUCAAAGGGGGCAGACUGUAAAUCUGUUGGCUCAGCCUUCGGUGGUUCGAAUCCACCCCUCUCCACCA